GGCCGCGUGAGGCCACACGUGACGGGGUGCGGGACGUGCCCGCGGCGCCGCGGGGCUCGCGGUGGCGCGCUGCAACGCGCGGGAACGGCUUUCACGAGGCCCGCGUUCCUGUGCGCUUGGCUGCAGCUCAUCGCGGUCCUGCCUUCCGCUGCUGGGGCGGCCGCGGAGGGCAUGAGCCAGCACAAGCCAAGCUCGCCGGGCAGAGAUGUGCCCCGGGAGCUGAACCUGCUGCAGAGCCAUGCGGGAGCCGGGGCAAGACACCGUAUCACAGUGAUGUCAGGCAUAUACUUCAGAAGUGCAGGUGGAAAGAACUGGUCGGAAGGAACGAAGGUGGUGGUGUGGCCAAGUUGUGCCUAGAGGAACCCCCACGGUUAGUCUGUGUCAGCAUAUUCGGAAUGCCCAAUACUGGCUGUUCUUUGAACCGGUUAUUUCUAUGUGGGAUCUUGUU
This 448-nucleotide long non-coding RNA is filed under the name Strigops habroptila (Kakapo). RNAcentral describes it as "lncRNA (ENSSHBG00005017800.1)". Lineage: Eukaryota; Metazoa; Chordata; Aves; Psittaciformes; Psittacidae. The record is from RNAcentral.